GAUGAACGCUAGCGGCAGGCCUAACACAUGCAAGUCGAGGGGUAGAAGGAGCUUGCUCCUUUGAGACCGGCGCACGGGUGCGUAACGCGUAUGCAAUCUACCUUGUACAGGGGAAUAGCCCAGAGAAAUUUGGAUUAAUGCCCCAUAGUAUAUAACCUUCGCAUGUUGGUUAUAUUAAAGUUCCAACGGUACAAGAUGAGCAUGCGUCCCAUUAGUUAGUUGGUAAGGUAACGGCUUACCAAGACGAUGAUGGGUAGGGGUCCUGAGAGGGAGAUCCCCCACACUGGUACUGAGACACGGACCAGACUCCUACGGGAGGCAGCAGUGAGGAAUAUUGGUCAAUGGUCGCAAGACUGAACCAGCCAUGCCGCGUGCAGGAAGACGGUCCUAUGGAUUGUAAACUGCUUUUANAUGGGAAGAAACCUUCGGAUGCGUUCGAAGCUGACGGUACCAUAUGAAUAAGGAUCGGGCUAACUUCGUGCCAGCAGCCG
This 491-nucleotide ribosomal RNA is filed under the name uncultured bacterium. Its description in RNAcentral is "bacterial SSU rRNA". It matches the Rfam family "Bacterial small subunit ribosomal RNA", at positions 28 to 517 of the family's 1533-position model. The record is from RNAcentral.